UGAAACUACGGAGGCGGUGAGGGGGUGAGGACCGGGGCCUUCCUCACCUGGCCUGGGGGGUGCUGGCCCUCAGGUUACAGGUUACAGGGUCUCUGCCCUGGGAGCGGCCCCUGCCUCUGGGAGCUGCAGGGACCCUUGGGGAUUAUGGGGUCCCUGCCUCUGGGGCUCACAGGAAUCACAGAGUCUCUGCCACUCUAUCUUUCUUUCCUUCCCUUCCCUCCC
Molecule: long non-coding RNA, 222 nt
Filed under: Homo sapiens (human)
Lineage: Eukaryota; Metazoa; Chordata; Mammalia; Primates; Hominidae
Description: non-protein coding lnc-ONECUT3-4:1
Source: RNAcentral